RNAcentral lists this ribosomal RNA (253 nucleotides) under uncultured bacterium. RNAcentral describes it as "partial 16S ribosomal RNA". It matches the Rfam family "Bacterial small subunit ribosomal RNA", at positions 524 to 776 of the family's 1533-position model. The record is from RNAcentral.
UGCGAAGGGGGCUAGCGUUGCUCGGAAUGACUGGGCGUAAAGGGCGCGUAGGCGGCGGUCACAGUCAGAUGUGAAAUUCCUGGGCUUAACCUGGGGGCUGCAUUUGAUACGUGGUUGCUUGAGUGGGGAAGAGGGUCGUGGAAUUCCCAGUGUAGAGGUGAAAUUCGUAGAUAUCGGGAGGAACACCGGUGGCGAAGGCGGCGACCUGGGUGGAUACUGACGCUGAGGUGCGAAAGCGUGGGGAGCAAACAGG